UCUUCCGCAAUGGACGAAAGUCUGACGGAGCAACGCCGCGUGAGUGAUGAAGGUUUUCGGACCGUAAAGCUCUUUUGUUAGGGAAGAACAAGUGCCGUUCAAAUAGGGCGGCACCUUGACGGUACCUAACCAGAAAGCCACGGCUAACUACGUGCCAGCAGCCGCGGUAAUACGUAGGUGGCAAGCGUUGUCCGGAAUUAUUGGGCGUAAAGGGAUCGCAGGCGGUGUCUGAAGUCAGAUGUGAAAGCCCCCGGCUCAACCGGGGAGGGUCAUUGGAAACUGGGGAACUUGAGUGCAGAAGAGGAGAGUGGAAUUCCACGUGUAGCGGUGAAAUGCGUAGAGAUGUUGAGGAACACCAGUGGCGAAGGCGACUCUCUGGUCUGUAACUGACGCUGAGGAGCGAAAGCGUGGGGAGCGAACAG
This 422-nucleotide ribosomal RNA is filed under the name uncultured bacterium. RNAcentral describes it as "bacterial SSU rRNA". It matches the Rfam family "Bacterial small subunit ribosomal RNA", at positions 362 to 775 of the family's 1533-position model. The record is from RNAcentral.